RNAcentral lists this ribosomal RNA (1929 nucleotides) under human gut metagenome. Its description in RNAcentral is "bacterial LSU rRNA". It matches the Rfam family "Bacterial large subunit ribosomal RNA", at positions 512 to 2449 of the family's 2925-position model. The record is from RNAcentral.
AGGUGAAAAGCACUUCGAACAGAAGAGUGAAAUAGUCCCUGAACCCAUACGCCUACAAGCUGUCGGAGCCGCUUCGUGCGGUGACGGCGUGCCUUUUGCAUAAUGAGCCUACGAGUUACUCAUCACCAGCGAGGUUAAGUACUUCAGGUACGUAAGCCGAAGCGAAAGCGAGUCUGAAUAGGGCGUCAAGUUGGUGGUGGUAGACGCGAAACCUUAGUGAUCUACCCAUGGGCAGGGUGAAGGUUUGGUAACACAAACUGGAGGCCCGAACCGGUAAACGUUGAAAAGUUUUCGGAUGACCUGUGGGUAGGGGUGAAAGGCCAAUCAAACUGGGAAAUAGCUCGUACUCUCCGAAAUGCAUUUAGGUGCAGCCUCUGUUGUUUUGUUCUAGAGGUAGAGCUACUGAUUGGAUGCGAGGGCUUCACCGCCUAUCAAAUCCGGCCAAACUCCGAAUGCUAGAACAUGAAGACAGGGAGUGAGCCAGCGGGUGCUAAGGUCCGUUGACGAAAGAGGGAGAACUCAGACCAUCAGCUAAGGUCCCCAAUUAUAUGCUAAGUUGGAAUAAAAACGGGGUGGGACUGCUUAGACAGCUAGGAUGUUGGCUUGGAAGCAGCCAUUCAUUUAAAGAGUGCGUAACAGCUCACUAGUCGAGCGGUCCUGCAUGGAUAAUACGCGGGCAUAAGCAUAUAACCGAAGCUAUGGGAUUGUAGAUGAUACAAUCGGUAGGAGAGCAUUCCAUUCAGCGUAGAAGCAGUAUCGUGAGGUAUUGUGGAGCGGAUGGAAAAGCAAAUGUAGGCAUAAGUAACGAUAAUGCGGGUGAGAACCCCGCACGCCGAAAGAUCAAGGAUUCCCCGGCAAUGUCAAUCAUCCGGGGGUAAGUCGGAUCCUAAGGGUAAGCCGAGUGGCGAUCCCGAUGGCAAACAGGUUAAUAUUCCUGUACUGAUCAUAACUGCGAUGCAGCGACGCAGAGGUGACACUGCUGCGUACUGACGGAAUAGUACGUUGAAACCCGUAUUCUUUGAUACCGGUAGUGAAGCACGCCGGUAGAGAUGAAAGGUGAUAGUACCGCAAUGCUUCGGUUGCGCGGAUAAUGCAGGUAAGCUGACUGCCAAGAAAACCUGCUAAGCUUCAGGUAAUGAUCAUCCGUACUGUAAACGGACACACGUGAUCAGGUAGAAAAUACUAAGGCGCUCGAGAGAUUCAUGGUUAAGGAACUAGGCAAAAUGGUCCUGUAACUUCGGGAUAAAGGACGCUCUUGUGAAAGAGCCGCAGAUAAUAGGCCCAGGCGACUGUUUACCAAAAACACAUGGCUAUGCUAAUUCGCAAGAAGAUGUAUAUGGCCUGACACCUGCCCGGUGCCGGAAGGUUAAGAGGAGAGCUCAGAGGCAACUCGAAGGUUUGAAUUGAAGCCCCGGUAAACGGCGGCCGUAACUAUAACGGUCCUAAGGUAGCGAAAUUCCUUGUCGGGUAAGUUCCGACCUGCACGAAUGGUGUAACGAUCUGGGUACUGUCUCAACCAUGAGCUCGGUGAAAUUGUAGUUCCGGUGAAGAUGCCGGAUACCCGCAACGGGACGGAAAGACCCCGUGAACCUUUACUGCAGCUUUGCAUUGAUUUUGGGUAACAGAUGUGUAGGAUAGGUCGGAGGCUUUGAUGCUGCGUCGUCAGGCGUAGAGUAGCCGUCGUUGAAAUACGACCCUUUUGUUAUCUGAGGUCUAAUCCCGUUAGGGAGACAUUGCAUGGUGGGUAGUUUGACUGGGGUGGUCGCCUCCAAAAGUGUAACGGAGGCUUCUCAAGGUACCCUCAAGGCGUUUGGUAAUCGUCUGCAGAGUGCAAUGGCAUAAGGGUGCUUGACUGUGAGACCGACACGUCGAUCAGGUUGGAAACAAGAGCAUAGUGAUCCGGUGGUUCCGCAUGGAAGGGCCAUCGCU